GAUGAACGCUGGCGGCGUGCCUAAUACAUGCAAGUCGAGCGAACAGACGAGGAGCUUGCUCCUUCGACGUUAGCGGCGGACGGGUGAGUAACACGUAGGUAACCUCCCUAUCAGUCUGGGAUAACUUCGGGAAACCGGAGCUAAUACCGGAUAAUAUUUCGAACCGCAUGGUUCGAUAGUGAAAGAUGGCUUUGCUAUCACUUCUAGAUGGACCUGCGCCGUAUUAGCUAGUUGGUAAGGUAACGGCUUACCAAGGCAACGAUACGUAGCCGACCUGAGAGGGGGAUCGGCCACACGGGAACUGAGACGCGGUCCAGACUCCUACGGGAGGCAGCAGUAGGGAAUCUGCGGCAAUGGGCGAAAGCCUGACGGAGCAACGCCGCGUGAGUGAUGAAGGUCUUCGGAUCGUAAAACUCUGUUAUUAGGGAAGAACAAACGUGUAAGUAACUGUGCACGUCUUGACGGUACCUAAUCAGAAAGCCACGGCUAACUACGUG
RNAcentral lists this ribosomal RNA (497 nucleotides) under uncultured bacterium. Its description in RNAcentral is "partial 16S ribosomal RNA". It matches the Rfam family "Bacterial small subunit ribosomal RNA", at positions 28 to 507 of the family's 1533-position model. The record is from RNAcentral.